CAUUGAAAAAAUAAUAUCAAUAUAUCGAUGUAUCAAUAUUUUUUCGACGAGCCUAAGCUGUCGACUGCUCUAGCGCAGUCAACGGCUCGAGCAGUCGGUGUAUGCCUCGCAACCGCUCGCGAGCGGUCGACGGCACGAUGGAAUUUCAUCAUGCAGUUGACGGCUUGAAGCGGUCGCGACUGCUCGAGCAGUCGUGUGUACGGCAGCGAAUGAAUGACUAUAGUUCACUGCACGGUCGCGGCUUUAAGCAGUCGGUCUCAACUGCCUGAAGCAGUCCGUGUACGGCGGCCUACAGUCACGCCGCUAGACGCGCCGUUGGACAGCGCGCUGUUGGACAGCGCGCUGUUGGACAGCGCGCGUUUGAACAGCGCGCGUUUGAACAGCGGUGCACCAUAAAACGACAUUAGUACGGCGCGUUUCGCUGCUGUGAGACAGUCGUGUACAAACAGAUACAAAAUGAACGGCAAUGCGGUUAGAGUACUGGCUAUUUACUUUUUAUGGAAAAAAAGGCAACAAAAACGUCGAAGAACAGUAGGUGUUGAUCCUUAUAACGCUACAAGGUUACUGAGAGGCGAACACGUAACAUCUUUCUCUGAUUUACGAGAAAAUAGUUAUAAAUUUUAUAAAUAUUUUCGCCUAUCAACCAGCAGUUUCGACGAAUUACUGUGCAAGUUAGAGUUUUCUUUACGAAGAUCCAGCAUACGUCGCAUCCCCAUAGCUCCAGUGGAAAAAUUGGCGAUUACUCUAAGGUAAGUGAAAUAAAAGAGUAGGUUUUGUAAUAAAUGAUAAUAUUUGUUUGGCUUAUUUUAAUCACAGUCGUAUUUUAAUUACAACCUAACACACUUAUUCAUAAAUGCUGAUUAAACCUAUUUUAGUUAAAAUGGUCUUAAAAUCGGAAUCUUCUCUUUCAUUUUGCAAAUGUAGAAAAGAAACAAAACACUUGUAAAACCUAUAUUAAUCUCACUCGUUUUUAAUGAAUAAGGGCAUAAUUUUAAAUCACAGUGUUAUUAUAAUCAUUGACUUAUUUUAAAUCACAGUCUUAUUUUAAUCAUAAUCUUAUUUUAAAUCACAGUCUUAUUUUAAUCAUAAUCUUAUUUUAAAUCACAGUCUUAUUUUAAUCACAGUCUCAUUUGAAUCAUAGUCUCAUUUUAAUCAGUCUUACUUUGUAGCUAAAAAUUGACAAGUACUUGUGAGGUUCACUGGUGUGUGUAGUUAGAAGGAACGCCGAAUGAUUUGUUGGUGUGUCUAUGUCAAAGUAUUGUGACAAGUUAGUGUGCCUGCUAUCUUGACGUCAAGCUACCAGGCACACGAAGCCUGGCAACCUGACAACUUUGCCCUUUCGGAGCGGCAUUGCCUCCCAGGCUGUAGCAUUUUGAUUUUUGCGAAGUAGUAAUAAACUUUUUAAAAUAAAUCUGUAAAAAAUAACUAAUAUCCUUAUUGAUCCUCAUUAUCAGGAUAAUUUGAGUUAUUAUCGCCAGUCGGCGAUACGACAUUUGAUAAUUCUACUGCAGAUUCAUAAAGCUGCUGUUGAGGUGUAGAGGUGGUAGCAUAGGCAUAGGUAUAAUUAUGAAGUGGCAAUGUUUGAGUUGUGUAAUUAUAAGUAGAAUUUGCGUUCACACUAGAAUUAACAUUAUUUUCUGGUGAUGAAAAGCUAGGUGUCGUAGUCGUUGGAGCUGAAAUCCCAAUAAGUAAUUCUAGAACCUUUGCGCGAAACUGCAGCUUUUGAUAAGCACUUAAUAAUAAUUAUUAAUUCCUGAUGGAUUAUGGAUGGAAACUCAAACACCAGUAUGAUUGUAAAAGAUUAUAAUUAGGAAAACGUCCGAGCACGAUGUACAUGAAUCUCAGCGGUAAGGCAAAAAAAAAACACUUAAAUUACUUAGAAUCGGACCAAGAGACUCAAAAAAUGACAAAUCAUCAGGAUUGAGGUUGGAAGGGGAAGUAUUUUGGUUAAGCAACGUUAUUAAUUCGUUUUCAAAAUUUGAUUGUUCUGAUUUACGUUUAUUCAUUCCACUACGUUUAUUCCAUUUGUUUUGACUAUUUUCUGUGUUUUCCUGUGGUCUAUGGAGCUGAGAUGGAGUACUCAAGUUAUUCGCUGAUGUGGCUGUUUCAGUCAAAUCUUCAGAUACGAUAGACUGAUUAUCGCUUAAUGAUUCUGUAACUUCAUUUUCUGAAAUACGAUCAAGGAAUGUCGAAAAAUAGAUACUUCUUGUGUUUUGCAGCGCUUCCAGAUGGCGUAUUUCGCAUAUUCCCUUUUGUUCUGAAAUAAUUAUCUCUGGCUGAUUUCCAUCGAUGGCGUAUUUGUUUAUCUGCAAUAAAAACGUAUUUUUUUAGGUACUUACCUAUAUCCUAAAAUCAAAUGAAAAUACUUUUUGUUUUCAGGUUUUUGGCAACGGGCAGUACUUUCUCCGAUUUAUCUAUCACAUACAGAAUGGGAAUCACUACUGUAGCUAAGAUAGUAGAUGAAGUUUGUUCGACUAUAUGGGAAAAACUGCGUCAUGAAUGUGUACCUGAACCAACUACAGAAAUGUGGCAGCGCAUAAGUGAAGAAUUUCAGUUAUAUGCAAAUUUUCCAAAUUGUUGCGGGGCGAUAGAUGGUAAACACAUACGUAUAGUAAAUCCUGCAGGUGGAGGCUCAAUGUUUUAUAAUUAUAAACAUUUCUAUUCUAUCGUCCUUUUGGCAAUGUGCGAUGCGAACUAUUGUUUCACAUAUAUUAACAUAGGUUCUUGCGGGAAAAACUCAGACUCUAUAAUAUUUCAAGAGAGUUCACUAUUUCAAAAGUUACAGAACAAUAGUUUGAGGUUGCCAGGUGUAAAGCAUCUGCCGGGCACUAAUAUAACAGUACCACACAUAAUAGUUGGUGAUGGUGCAUUUGGUAUAUCCAACCAUGUGAUGAGACCUUAUGUGCGAUCCAACAUGACUCAUAAAAAGAAAAUAUUUAAUUACCGCUUAAGUCGUGCUAGACGGUACAUAGAGUCGACGUUUGGAAUAAUGUCCAACAAAUUCAGAGUAUUCCAUACUCCUAUGAGUGUCAGUUUUCCUAUUGCAAAAAAGAUAGUUCAAGCCUGUUGCAUAUUGCAUAAUUUUAUUAGAGUACGGGAUGGCUACAACGUUAAUCACACAUUAACUAUAAUGGGAUUGACUGAUCUAAUUAACGACCCAGAUCAUAGAUCAGGAAACACAUUACGCGAUAUAUUCGCUAAUUACUUCGUAUCACCCACUGGUAGCGUGUCAUGGCAAGAUAGAUCUGUGUUCUGAUUUUAUAGUUGACACCUACCGCGAAAUUCAAAAAUGGAACGAAACGAAACGCAGUAAUAUCGUCGUGGCUUAUUUGAUUUACCUACCCAAUUAAUAUUUUUCACUAGGUGACCCGGCAGACGUUGUACUGCCUCAAUCGAUAAAAUUUUCAUAUUUAUUCACCUUUUAAACCUCAUCUGGACUUCCACAAAUAAAUCAUAACCAAAAUUAGCCAAAUCGGUCCAGCCGUUCUCGAUUUUAGCGAGACUAACGAACAGCAAUUGAUUUAUAUUUUUAAAUAGAUUAGAAUUUCUGAAAUUCGCGGGCGAACAAAACGAUUUCACUUAAUUUUACACUAGGUAAUAAGUAGCUAAUGUGACUUAAUUAAGGUACCAGACUCGUCGGUUACACUUGACAAACGAUCUUUAAAGUUAAUUUAUAUCUCUUAUUGUGAACUGAACACUAAAAGUGAUUGAAUGUUUUAAUGGAGGAUGGAGGAUUUCGUUUGUGCAACUAGCGGUAAACAUGUAUGUAACAAAAAAGAUUUUAUUAAUAAAUGUUUCUUACCUAA
Molecule: long non-coding RNA, 3806 nt
Organism: Trichoplusia ni (cabbage looper)
Lineage: Eukaryota; Metazoa; Arthropoda; Insecta; Lepidoptera; Noctuidae
Exons: 2
Source: RefSeq, a predicted model, not a curated record